UAACCUCAACAAAUCUUCAUCGCGGGCCAAUCAAGCGCACUUAUCCAAACUAUCCAAGUUUUUCUUGUAUCUGGUUAUGCUAAUUACACCGUACACGAUUAUUAUCGAGACGCGUUCGCGUGCCACGUUAAACAGCGCUGUGUCCCAUAAAUAAUAACUUCAUCUCGCAGAAAUGGCGCGCGUACGAGACGAGCUCUGUGAUUCUCUCUGCGCGCCCUCUAUAAUUCUCGACCGCGUGGGAAUUUGAGUUUUCCCUCGAUCCUUCUUUCCCUUCUCUUCUACUGGAAAGAACUAUGUCACGGGAGGAGGCCACGUUUGAACAGCCACAAAUUCAACCGAUCACCGUGGCGGGUACAACAUUCCAUCGGGGCAAAAACGCGUAAAUUACGCGACGAACAGGGCGUCAUUAUUGGAACGAGCAGGCCUGGCGCACACUGCGCAGGACGGUCUCCCCCCUUGCCUCUGUCCCACCGCUACACUCUCAUAAGUACAUAAAUUAGCCGUACGGCAGCCCGAGCAAAAAGCUACACGACGGAAGAGGUAACGGGCGACGUCUGAACGCGACACGCGAGUGAAUCGCGGCCUGCACGUGGGAGAGCAGAAGCAAAUAAAGUAACGAAUAAAGAAUAGAGUCUACUACUGUGUGCCAGUUGGACAAGCCGUGCAGCAUCAUUAGCCGCGACGUCCAGCUUCUGAUUUCCUUCGUUCGCCUACCCAUGCCAAGGCGAAACCGAACCGACGAGACGCGCAGCCGACAUUUUGUAUGUUAACGCGGGAUUUGCUCGAAAAGAGGGCAACGUGCAGCAUCAUUAGCCAGGACGUCGAGGACUCGCGAUUUCCGUCUGCUCGUUUGUGGGACGAGACGCUCACGAAGGUAGGGAGGGAGGGGGGAGGGGGGGCUGGCCGCCCUUAUCUGGCAAGGGGGGGGGCCUCCUGAGUGAAUGGUACCCGGUACUUUGUUCUCGGUUCCUGGUACAACCGGUGCUCCUCUCCUCGACAGAUAUUCGAACAUUCGGGUUCGAUGAACCCUGGGUUCGAGGGGGCCUCCCCCUCCCCCUCCCCCCUUUUUCCGCGUGGACAUUGGAGCGGUGGCCAGGGCAGCGCCCAUCUGCGAAACGACCGACACCGCCGUUAUCCAUCUGCCUUCGGGAUUCCGCGAUUCGUUAACAUUCUUGCCGAAUCCGACAAGAGGGGGACCGAUGCCGAGAGGAUCGUCGAAGAAGUUGAAGAUCGUUCCGAUCAGAUUCGAUGAAGUUGGGCGCGCGGUUUUUUGCGAGCUCCUUUGCGAAGAUUCCC
Molecule: long non-coding RNA, 1296 nt
Organism: Apis florea (little honeybee)
Lineage: Eukaryota; Metazoa; Arthropoda; Insecta; Hymenoptera; Apidae
Source: RefSeq, a predicted model, not a curated record